AUACGUAGGUGACAAGCGAUAACCGGAUUUAAAGGGCGUAAAGGGUGCGAAGGCGGUACAGCAAGUGGGAAGUGGAAUACCCGGGCUUAACCCGGGGGUGUCAUUUGAAACUGCUAUACUUGAGUGCAGAAGAGGAAAGCGGAAUUCCCAGUGUAGCGGUGAAAUGCGUAGAUAUUGGGAGGAACACCAGUGGCGAAGUCGACUUACUUGACUGUAACUGACGCUGAGGCGCGAAAGUGUGGGGAGCAAACAGGAUUAGAUACCCUGGUAGUCCACACUGUAAACGAUGAAUGCUAGGUGUAGGGGGUAUCGACCCCUUCUGUGCCGCAGUUAACACAAUAAGCAUUCCGCCUGGGGAGUACGGCCGCAAGGUUGAAACUCAAAUGAAUUGGCGGGG
Molecule: ribosomal RNA, 397 nt
Filed under: uncultured bacterium
Lineage: Bacteria
Description: partial 16S ribosomal RNA
Rfam family: Bacterial small subunit ribosomal RNA
Source: RNAcentral